UUAAGUGACUAAGCGUACACGGUGGAUGCCUGGGCAGUCAGAGGCGAUGAAGGACGUACUAACUUGCGAUAAGCGCAGAUAAGGCAGUAAGAGCCGUUUGAGUCUGCGAUUUCCGAAUGGGGAAACCCAACUGCAUAAGCAGUUACUGUUAACUGAAUACAUAGGUUAACAGAGCAAACCGGGGGAACUGAAACAUCUAAGUACCCCGAGGAGAAGAAAUCAACCGAGAUUCCGGUAGUAGCGGCGAGCGAACCUGGAUUAGCCCUUAAGCACUCGGUGAAGUAGGUGAACAAGCUGGAAAGCUUGGCGAUACAGGGUGAUAGCCCCGUAACCGACGCUUCAUCGAGCGUGAAAUCGAGUAGGGCGGGACACGUGAUAUCCUGUCUGAAUAUGGGGGGACCAUCCUCCAAGGCUAAAUACUCCUGACUGACCGAUAGUGAACCAGUACCGUGAGGGAAAGGCGAAAAGAACCCCUGUGAGGGGAGUGAAAUAGAACCUGAAACCGUGUACGUACAAGCAGUAGGAGCACCUUCGUGGUGUGACUGCGUACCUUUUGUAUAAUGGGUCAGCGACUUAUAUUCAGUGGCAAGGUUAACCGUAUAGGGGAGCCGUAGCGAAAGCGAGUCUUAACUGGGCGCUCAGUCUCUGGAUAUAGACCCGAAACCGGGUGAUCUAGCCAUGGGCAGGUUGAAGGUUGAGUAACAUCAACUGGAGGACCGAACCGACUAAUGUUGAAAAAUUAGCGGAUGACUUGUGGCUAGGGGUGAAAGGCCAAUCAAACUCGGAGAUAGCUGGUUCUCCCCGAAAGCUAUUUAGGUAGCGCCUCGGACGAAUACUACUGGGGGUAGAGCACUGUUAAGGCUAGGGGGUCAUCCCGACUUACCAACCCUUUGCAAACUCCGAAUACCAGUAAGUACUAUCCGGGAGACACACGGCGGGUGCUAACGUCCGUCGUGGAGAGGGAAACAACCCAGACCGCCAGCUAAGGUCCCAAAGUAUUGCUAAGUGGGAAACGAUGUGGGAAGGCUCAGACAGCUAGGAUGUUGGCUUAGAAGCAGCCAUCAUUUAAAGAAAGCGUAAUAGCUCACUAGUCGAGUCGGCCUGCGCGGAAGAUGUAACGGGGCUAAGCAAUACACCGAAGCUGCGGCAAUGAAGUUUACUUCAUUGGGUAGGGGAGCGUUCUGUAAGCCGUUGAAGGUGAAUCGUAAGGUUUGCUGGAGGUAUCAGAAGUGCGAAUGCUGACAUGAGUAACGACAAAGGGGGUGAAAAACCUCCUCGCCGGAAGACCAAGGGUUCCUGUCCAACGUUAAUCGGGGCAGGGUGAGUCGACCCCUAAGGUGAGGCCGAAAGGCGUAAUCGAUGGGAAACGGGUUAAUAUUCCCGUACUUCUGACUAUUGCGAUGGGGGGACGGAGAAGGCUAGGUGGGCCAGGCGACGGUUGUCCUGGUUCAAGUGCGUAGGCUUGAGAGUUAGGUAAAUCCGGCUCUCUUUAAGGCUGAGACACGACGUCGAGCUGCUACGGCAGUGAAGUCAUUGAUGCCAUGCUUCCAGGAAAAGCCUCUAAGCUUCAGAUAGUCAGGAAUCGUACCCCAAACCGACACAGGUGGUCGGGUAGAGAAUACCAAGGCGCUUGAGAGAACUCGGGUGAAGGAACUAGGCAAAAUGGUACCGUAACUUCGGGAGAAGGUACGCUCUUGAUGGUGAAGUCCCUCGCGGAUGGAGCUGACGAGAGUCGCAGAUACCAGGUGGCUGCAACUGUUUAUUAAAAACACAGCACUGUGCAAAAUCGCAAGAUGACGUAUACGGUGUGACGCCUGCCCGGUGCCGGAAGGUUAAUUGAUGGGGUUAGCGCAAGCGAAGCUCUUGAUCGAAGCCCCGGUAAACGGCGGCCGUAACUAUAACGGUCCUAAGGUAGCGAAAUUCCUUGUCGGGUAAGUUCCGACCUGCACGAAUGGCGUAAUGAUGGCCACGCUGUCUCCACCCGAGACUCAGUGAAAUUGAAAUCGCUGUGAAGAUGCAGUGUACCCGCGGCUAGACGGAAAGACCCCGUGAACCUUUACUACAGCUUGGCACUGAACAUUGAACCUACAUGUGUAGGAUAGGUGGGAGGCUAUGAAGACGUGACGCCAGUUGCGUUGGAGCCGUCCUUGAAAUACCACCCUUGUAUGUUUGAUGUUCUAACUUAGACCCAUUAUCUGGGUUGAGGACAGUGCCUGGUGGGUAGUUUGACUGGGGCGGUCUCCUCCCAAAGAGUAACGGAGGAGCACGAAGGUGGGCUAAUCACGGUUGGACAUCGUGAGGUUAGUGCAAUGGCAUAAGCCCGCUUAACUGCGAGAAUGACGGUUCGAGCAGGUGCGAAAGCAGGUCAUAGUGAUCCGGUGGUUCUGUAUGGAAGGGCCAUCGCUCAACGGAUAAAAGGUACUCCGGGGAUAACAGGCUGAUACCGCCCAAGAGUUCAUAUCGACGGCGGUGUUUGGCACCUCGAUGUCGGCUCAUCACAUCCUGGGGCUGAAGUCGGUCCCAAGGGUAUGGCUGUUCGCCAUUUAAAGUGGUACGCGAGCUGGGUUUAGAACGUCGUGAGACAGUUCGGUCCCUAUCUGCCGUGGGCGUUGGAAGAUUGAAGGGGGCUGCUCCUAGUACGAGAGGACCGGAGUGGACGAACCUCUGGUGUUCGGGUUGUGUCGCCAGACGCAUUGCCCGGUAGCUAAGUUCGGAAUUGAUAAGCGCUGAAAGCAUCUAAGCGCGAAGCGAGCCCUGAGAUGAGUCUUCCCUGAUACUUUAAGUAUCCUAAAGGGUUGUUCGAGACUAGAACGUUGAUAGGCAGGGUGUGUAAGCGUUGUGAGGCGUUGAGCUAACCUGUACUAAUUGCCCGUGAGGCUUAACCAU
This 2886-nucleotide ribosomal RNA is filed under the name Vibrio cholerae. RNAcentral describes it as "bacterial LSU rRNA". It matches the Rfam family "Bacterial large subunit ribosomal RNA". The record is from RNAcentral. Lineage: Bacteria; Pseudomonadati; Pseudomonadota; Gammaproteobacteria; Vibrionales; Vibrionaceae.